UGAAUCCAUACAAUUUAUUCAGAGGGAGCCUCAGUAAUUUCUUUAUUAUCAGUUGUGGCUAACAACUAAUGAUUUGGAAGUGAUGAUUCAUCUCUGUAUGCAGAAUUUAUGGAUUGGUCCUCUCUGAAUUCCAACAGUUUUCUCCGUUGACAUUUCGCAUUAAGGUAAACAUUGUCCUCUGGUUACUCUUCAAAUUCAAGUAAUCAACCUGCUCAGGAUCUAAAACUAGCAGACAAAAUGUGGCAACUGGGCCUGAGGAAGAAUCCAGAAAGAAUUCAUGGGAAGGUUGCUCACUUAGACAAGGAAGACCUGGGUUAGGGCCAAGGUAUUGCAUCCUUGACUUUACAGAACUAGCAUACCAUGAUUUCUCUCUUAUCUGCACCAUUGAUUUAAAGAAAUGAAGAAGACCUAGAAUAGCUCAAGGAUGCAAAAUGGUGAAAAAAAAAAGUGAAAACUUGAAUGAUGGAAAAUCUACAGUCAACUUUAGAAGGCACCAUUUGGCAUCAUCAAAAGGGAAACUUUUAGAAUACAUUUCUCCACCUACCCUUUUCUCAAGCUUGGCAUCAAAUCAAAAUCCAUAACAAGCAAUCUUUUGAUUAGUCAUAAAUACCUAGAGGUUUAUCAUUGGAAAUGACAAUGGGGCACAGUUAGCAGGGCAAGUUUUGGCAUUACCAUCUUGAAUCGGUUAGGCACUGUGGCAGAGAAGAAAAAUGUGCAGCAGGGAUGGAAAUCCCCAUUCGUUGUUUGCAAUUUUAUAAAUAUCUAAACAUUACACACACACACACUAAAUUUUGUAAACUAUUCCUCUGUUAGUUAAUAUUUAAAAAAAGAAGAAUAAAUUAAAGGAUCAUGCAAUCCAAUAACAACUAUAUUGAAAGCAGCUUUACUAACAUUUGGCUUCUUAGCCUUUAAAUACAGCCUUAUCAGUUUGCCGAAGGCAUUACAGUGAACUGCAAAUCCUAUGCAUAAAAAAAAAGUUCUCUUUAACAUCAACUUUCUAACAAAAUAUUGGCGUUGAUACUUUUGACACCCUAGGAUAUUCACAUUGUCUAGAUCAUAAAAAGACCAAAUAAAGCAUGGAAGAGACAUGGUGCUCAAGGUGGUUAUAGGUACCUGAAGCUUUGCAGGAUCAGGAUUCAACCCAUCAAUAAUGUUAACUCUUCCAUUGAUACGGAAUUGCUCCCAGGAGUCAGUAAAAUACCAACAUAUCUAGAAAAAGUAAAUUUAAGUUUAAAGUACCUAAUUCUGUAACUCAAGGAAUCUAAAGGAAUUGAAAGAACAUAUACUGAAAUAACCUACCGCAAGAAAGUGAAUGCUAUACUAGAUCAAGGAAUCGAUAAAAGAUAUAAAAUGUAGGUCUAUUACCUCAGCGAAUGGACAUUGCUUAAGUUCUUCAAUCUUACGAGUUCUAGAAUCUGUGUUGAUUAGGAUCUUAUCGCUGUUCUCUGCAAAUCCUCUGUAAAACCAUCAACAAACCUCUCAUCAUCCAACAAAUUUCACACAUAAACAUGUUGACAGAGUACCUGAAAACCACAGUGCGAUUGGAAGGUCUCCCAUCAGAUCCAACUGUUGCAAAUUGGAAGAAGGAAGAGUGCUUGAGGUGGGAAUUGGACUCUAAUGCACUUAGCAGAAGCUGCUUCCAUGGAGUUGCGAUUACUGUUCCCAUACUGCUCACUUUCAUUCCUGGUUGCAGCGCAUCUGCGUUAGCUUCCUACAAUUCUGC
RNAcentral lists this unclassified non-coding RNA (1723 nucleotides) under Hevea brasiliensis (rubber tree). The record is from RNAcentral. Lineage: Eukaryota; Viridiplantae; Streptophyta; Magnoliopsida; Malpighiales; Euphorbiaceae.